ACUCAAAGGAAUAGACGGGGGCCCGCACAAGCGGUGGAGCAUGUGGUUUAAUUCGACGCAACGCGAAGAACCUUACCUACCCUUGACAUGCUUGGAAUUCUGUAGAGAUAUGGAAGUGCCCGCGAGGGAGCCAAGACACAGGUGCUGCAUGGCUGUCGUCAGCUCGUGUCGUGAGAUGUUGGGUUAAGUCCCGUAACGAGCGCAACCCUUGUCCUUAGUUGCUAGCAGGUAAAGCUGAGAACUCUAAGGAGACUGCCGGUGACAAGCCGGAGGAAGGUGGGGAUGACGUCAAGUCCUCAUGGCCCAUACGGGUAGGGCCACACACGUGCUACAAUGGUCGAUACAGAGGGAAGCGAAGCCGUGAGGUGAAGCGGAUCUCAGAAAGUCGAUCGUAGUCCGGAUUGGAGUCUGCAACUCGACUCCAUGAAGUUGGAAUCGCUAGUAAUCGCGGAUCAGAACGCCGCGGUGAAUACGUUCCCGGGCCUUGUACACACCGCCCGU
Molecule: ribosomal RNA, 501 nt
Filed under: uncultured bacterium
Lineage: Bacteria
Description: partial 16S ribosomal RNA
Rfam family: Bacterial small subunit ribosomal RNA
Source: RNAcentral